Molecule: ribosomal RNA, 2900 nt
Filed under: Campylobacter jejuni
Lineage: Bacteria; Pseudomonadati; Campylobacterota; Epsilonproteobacteria; Campylobacterales; Campylobacteraceae
Description: 23S ribosomal RNA
Rfam family: Bacterial large subunit ribosomal RNA
Source: RNAcentral
AAGCUACUAAGAGCGAAUGGUGGAUGCCUUGACUGGUAAAGGCGAUGAAGGACGUACUAGACUGCGAUAAGCUACGGGGAGCUGUCAAGAAGCUUUGAUCCGUAGAUUUCCGAAUGGGGCAACCCAAUGUAUAGAGAUAUACAUUACCUAUAUAGGAGCGAACGAGGGGAAUUGAAACAUCUUAGUACCCUCAGGAAAAGAAAUCAAUAGAGAUUGCGUCAGUAGCGGCGAGCGAAAGCGCAAGAGGGCAAACCCAGUGCUUGCACUGGGGGUUGUAGGACUGCAAUGUGCAAGAGGUAAGUUUAGCAGAACAUUCUGGAAAGUAUAACCAUAGAGGGUGAUAGUCCCGUAUGCGAAAAACAAACCUUAGCUAGCAGUAUCCUGAGUAGGGCGGGACACGAGGAAUCCUGUCUGAAUCCGGGUCGACCACGAUCCAACCCUAAAUACUAAUACCAGAUCGAUAGUGCACAAGUACCGUGAGGGAAAGGUGAAAAGAACUGAGGUGAUCAGAGUGAAAUAGAACCUGAAACCAUUUGCUUACAAUCAUUCAGAGCCCUAUGUAGCAAUACAGGGUGAUGGACUGCCUUUUGCAUAAUGAGCCUGCGAGUUGUGGUGUCUGGCAAGGUUAAGCAAACGCGAAGCCGUAGCGAAAGCGAGUCUGAAUAGGGCGCUUAGUCAGAUGCUGCAGACCCGAAACGAAGUGAUCUAUCCAUGAGCAAGUUGAAGCUAGUGUAAGAACUAGUGGAGGACUGAACCCAUAGGCGUUGAAAAGCCCCGGGAUGACUUGUGGAUAGGGGUGAAAGGCCAAUCAAACUUCGUGAUAGCUGGUUCUCUCCGAAAUAUAUUUAGGUAUAGCGUUGUGUCGUAAUAUAAGGGGGUAGAGCACUGAAUGGGCUAGGGCAUACACCAAUGUACCAAACCCUAUCAAACUCCGAAUACCUUAUAUGUAAUCACAGCAGUCAGGCGGCGAGUGAUAAAAUCCGUCGUCAAGAGGGAAACAACCCAGACUACCAGCUAAGGUCCCUAAAUCUUACUUAAGUGGAAAACGAUGUGAAGUUACUUAAACAACCAGGAGGUUGGCUUAGAAGCAGCCAUCCUUUAAAGAAAGCGUAAUAGCUCACUGGUCUAGUGAUUUUGCGCGGAAAAUAUAACGGGGCUAAAGUAAGUACCGAAGCUGUAGACUUAGUUUACUAAGUGGUAGGAGAGCGUUCUAUUUGCGUCGAAGGUAUACCGGUAAGGAGUGCUGGAGCGAAUAGAAGUGAGCAUGCAGGCAUGAGUAGCGAUAAUUAAUGUGAGAAUCAUUAACGCCGUAAACCCAAGGUUUCCUACGCGAUGCUCGUCAUCGUAGGGUUAGUCGGGUCCUAAGUCGAGUCCGAAAGGGGUAGACGAUGGCAAAUUGGUUAAUAUUCCAAUACCAACAUUAGUGUGCGAUGGAAGGACGCUUAGGGCUAAGGGGGCUAGCGGAUGGAAGUGCUAGUCUAAGGUCGUAGGAGGUUAUACAGGCAAAUCCGUAUAACAAUACUCCGAGAACUGAAAGGCUUUUGAAGUCUUCGGAUAGAUAGAAGAACCCCUGAUGCCGUCGAGCCAAGAAAAGUUUCUAAGUUUAGCUAAUGUUGCCCGUACCGUAAACCGACACAGGUGGGUGGGAUGAGUAUUCUAAGGCGCGUGGAAGAACUCUCUUUAAGGAACUCUGCAAAAUAGCACCGUAUCUUCGGUAUAAGGUGUGGUUAGCUUUGUAUUAGGAUUUACUCCGAAAGCAAGGAAACUUACAACAAAGAGUCCCUCCCGACUGUUUACCAAAAACACAGCACUCUGCUAACUCGUAAGAGGAUGUAUAGGGUGUGACGCCUGCCCGGUGCUCGAAGGUUAAUUGAUGGGGUUAGCAUUAGCGAAGCUCUUGAUCGAAGCCCGAGUAAACGGCGGCCGUAACUAUAACGGUCCUAAGGUAGCGAAAUUCCUUGUCGGUUAAAUACCGACCUGCAUGAAUGGCGUAACGAGAUGGGAGCUGUCUCAAAGAGGGAUCCAGUGAAAUUGUAGUGGAGGUGAAAAUUCCUCCUACCCGCGGCAAGACGGAAAGACCCCGUGGACCUUUACUACAGCUUGACACUGCUACUUGGAUAAGAAUGUGCAGGAUAGGUGGGAGGCUUUGAGUAUAUGACGCCAGUUGUAUAUGAGCCAUUGUUGAGAUACCACUCUUUCUUAUUUGGGUAGCUAACCAGCUUGAGUUAUCCUCAAGUGGGACAAUGUCUGGUGGGUAGUUUGACUGGGGCGGUCGCCUCCCAAAUAAUAACGGAGGCUUACAAAGGUUGGCUCAGAACGGUUGGAAAUCGUUCGUAGAGUAUAAAGGUAUAAGCCAGCUUAACUGCAAGACAUACAAGUCAAGCAGAGACGAAAGUCGGUCUUAGUGAUCCGGUGGUUCUGUGUGGAAGGGCCAUCGCUCAAAGGAUAAAAGGUACCCCGGGGAUAACAGGCUGAUCUCCCCCAAGAGCUCACAUCGACGGGGAGGUUUGGCACCUCGAUGUCGGCUCAUCGCAUCCUGGGGCUGGAGCAGGUCCCAAGGGUAUGGCUGUUCGCCAUUUAAAGCGGUACGCGAGCUGGGUUCAGAACGUCGUGAGACAGUUCGGUCCCUAUCUGCCGUGGGCGUAAGAAGAUUGAAGAGAUUUGACCCUAGUACGAGAGGACCGGGUUGAACAAACCACUGGUGUAGCUGUUGUUCUGCCAAGAGCAUCGCAGCGUAGCUAAGUUUGGAAAGGAUAAACGCUGAAAGCAUCUAAGCGUGAAGCCAACUCUAAGAUGAAUCUUCUCUAAGCUCUCUAGAAGACUACUAGUUUGAUAGGCUGGGUGUGUAAUGGAUGAAAGUCCUUUAGCUGACCAGUACUAAUAGAGCGUUUGGCUUAUCU